This 83-nucleotide transfer RNA is filed under the name Lentisphaeria bacterium. Its description in RNAcentral is "tRNA-Leu". It matches the Rfam family "tRNA". Rfam says of the family: Transfer RNA (tRNA) molecules are approximately 80 nucleotides in length. Their secondary structure includes four short double-helical elements and three loops (D, anti-codon, and T loops). Further hydrogen bonds mediate the characteristic L-shaped molecular structure. tRNAs have two regions of fundamental functional importance: the anti-codon, which is responsible for specific mRNA codon recognition, and the 3' end, to which the tRNAs corresponding amino acid is attached (by aminoacyl-tRNA synthetases). tRNAs cope with the degeneracy of the genetic code in two manners: having more than one tRNA (with a specific anti-codon) for a particular amino acid; and 'wobble' base-pairing, i.e. permitting non-standard base-pairing at the 3rd anti-codon position. Lineage: Bacteria; Pseudomonadati; Lentisphaerota; Lentisphaeria. The record is from RNAcentral. RNAcentral also lists the same sequence under 2 other names.
GCCCGAGUGGCGGAAUGGCAGACGCACUAGACUUAAAAUCUGGCAUCCUUUUGGAUAUACGGGUUCGACUCCCGUCUCGGGUA